CCUACGGGUGGCAGCAGUGAGGAAUAUUGGUCAAUGGCCGGAAGGCUGAACCAGCCAAGCCGCGUGAAGGACGAAGGUGCCAAGCAUUGUAAACUUCUUUUGUCAAGGAACAAAAUCUGGCUCGCGUGCCCGACCGAGUGUACCUGAAGAAAAAGCAUCGGCUAACUCCGUGCCAGCAGCCGCGGUAAUACGGAGGAUGCGAGCGUUAUCCGGAUUUAUUGGGUUUAAAGGGUGCGCAGGCGGCCUGUUAAGUCAGCGGUAAAAGCCCGGGGCUCAACCCCGGCGAGCCGUUGAAACUGGCUGUCUUGAGAUGGAGAGAGGUAUGCGGAAUGCGCGGUGUAGCGGUGAAAUGCAUAGAUAUCGCGCAGAACUCCGAUUGCGAAGGCAGCAUACCGGCGGCAAACUGACGCUGAGGCACGAAAGCGUGGGUAUCGAACAGGAUUAGAUACCCCGGUAGUC
This 459-nucleotide ribosomal RNA is filed under the name uncultured bacterium. RNAcentral describes it as "partial 16S ribosomal RNA". It matches the Rfam family "Bacterial small subunit ribosomal RNA", at positions 338 to 795 of the family's 1533-position model. The record is from RNAcentral.